CCUACGGGGGGCAGCAGUGAGGAAUAUUGGUCAAUGGCCGGAAGGCUGAACCAGCCAAGCCGCGUGAAGGACGAAGGUGCCAAGCAUUGUAAACUUCUUUUGUCAAGGGACAAAAUCAGGCUCGAGAGCCUGACCGAGGGUACUUGAAGAAAAAGCAUCGGCUAACUCCGUGCCAGCAGCCGCGGUAAUACGGAGGAUGCGAGCGUUAUCCGGAUUUAUUGGGUUUAAAGGGUGCGCAGGCGGAAUGUCAAGUCAGCGGUAAAAUUUCGGGGCUCAACCCCGUCGUGCCGUUGAAACUGGCGUUU
Molecule: ribosomal RNA, 305 nt
Filed under: uncultured bacterium
Lineage: Bacteria
Description: bacterial SSU rRNA
Rfam family: Bacterial small subunit ribosomal RNA
Source: RNAcentral